GCGGUAACGUGCGAAGCUUACUGAUACUAAUAGCUCGAUAGGCUUGAUUAC
Molecule: ribosomal RNA, 51 nt
Filed under: Cohaesibacter marisflavi
Lineage: Bacteria; Pseudomonadati; Pseudomonadota; Alphaproteobacteria; Hyphomicrobiales; Cohaesibacteraceae
Description: 23S rRNA. Bacterial LSU
Source: RNAcentral